AUAUGCUUCCCAUAUCAACAGUGAGAUUACUUACUCAGCUUCAUACUCACAUCGGAAUCAAAAUGCUUGCAGAGUAUGCAUGUUAAGAAAUAGAUCUUUCUAUGGUGACCUCUUUUGAGAUCUUUCACUUUUUCUCCAUCCUGUUAAGAAAAUGACUUCCUAAAUACCUGAGAUCCUCCACUGAUGUCACCUCUAUUGCUGCUUCCCAGAAACUCUUUGGAACAUUUAGUUUGGCUCCUCAGUCAAAACACCUGGCACAGAAGACCCUACUAGCAGCACUGCUAACAUCAUCACAACCUCUUGGUGAACAAGAACAUCCAGACCCACUAUCAUGAGCCUAUUCUUCAACUGCAGGGGUUGAUAGCAUCCUAGGACACCUCCUCACCAGUCCAGCGAUGGAUGAGAUACUGCCCAACAUACGACGUCACUGGACUUCCAGCAGAGGCCCCAUCCACAAAUGGAGUAGAAGCAUCCUAGGAAGCUUCCCUCCAAACACAGGAGCCUGCCUGUGUUGUGCUGGAAGAGGUGCAAGGGGUGUCCCUAAUCUCUGCUGCUUUGCUAUGGAGGCUGGUCAAAUGGCACCCGGGGGGGGGGGGGAGUGUCCUCCAUGUGAAGUCCUAAGUCUGGAUUCAACACAGUGUUUUAAGAUUUUGUACCAGGAUUUCAUGACAUUCAGGCUGAUCAAAGAACAGGAUGUGAACACAAGUCUGAGUUUAUGGGAUCAUCUUGGAAUGAUUUAUUGGUAUCAAUAUGAAUAAUCUCUCACAAUCAUUUUCACACAUAAAAUACUCAUGAGAACCACUGUAAAAUAGAGAAAAUGAGACAUCUUGUUGAUGGCAAUAUGCCAUGGCAGUCUUUUACUAGUCAAUUUGAAUUAAUUUGCACUUCAAUCCUCUCACUUCUAUCCAAACUUCCCCUGCCAAAACCACUUAACUCUCUCUUGUCAUUAUAAUCAUAUCUUCCAGCCUUCCUCUGAUGCAUCCCUUCUUUGCAUCUAGCAUGCAUUUCUUGUUUUUAUCAUUGAAAUUACCCACAGCCUACUACAGGACCUUUUAGCCUUAGAGGAGUAUUAUAUGUGCCCACAUAUGUGAAAAAAGAAGCUAUUAUAAUCCAGUCACAGAAUAACUUGAAAUUCAGCAUUGCAGAAAAAGUGCCACAUAAGUAUACAGUGCACUGAAAGGAAGGAAACCAACAUGAUAAAAAGCUUGAAAAUCAAGUUUUAUGAAGAAGAAUGGAGAGAACUGAGUAAGUUAAGCCUACAAAAGUGGAGAGGUCUCCUUAAGCUAUCCCCUAAAGGGCUGUCACACAGAAACUUGUUUUCUGCUGCACAAGAGGUUAGCCACCAAAACAACAGAUUCAAAUCAUAUGAAAGAUGAUUCUAAGUAUUAAAAAUAUUGUUUUAAGUGCAGUUUAAGACAGAGCAGUCGCCUGGCAGUUUGAAGAUGAUAAUGUAUUAAUUCUUUUGUAUAAUUGUUGUGUUGGCAGUGAGCUCUGUUUUCCCUUUUAUGCCAUAAUCCUAGAAAUCACCCUAAAGAGUAAAGUUGGCCAAUGACUAGGAAUUAUGACAGUUCAACAAGGAGGAACAUACAGUGCCCAUUCCUGUCCUAGAUUUUGAUGUCAAAGGAAACUCUUGGGCUGAUACAUAGCUAAAUGCAUAAAUGAAGGCCAGGAAGGUGUGUGUGUGUGUGGGGGGGGGGGGGGAGUCAUCAUAUAUUAGCGGGAAACCUCAAUUUCUUUAACUGUGCACAGGCCCCUAAUUACUGUUACAGCACAGAAGUAUCUGAAUCACCCCUACAUGACAAGGACAUGGCAUUAGCUGAUGAGAGGGUUUGAUGUAACAACUGUGUUACUGGACAUAUAGACCUUCCACUAUCCUUGUUUGGUGAUCUGUGGCCUCAAAAGCUUCCCCUGCCCUUUAUCUUUAUCUGGUAAUUGUGGUCUUCAAGUUUAUGUCUUCUUACUUUUGUUUGUUCACAUGGAGAAGGCAUGAUUCUGCAAAGAAAGCUAUGGAGUUUGCACUAAAGAAAUUUUCAACAUUUCUACUAAGAUACAAUUUUCUGUGGGGAAAGCUGUGACAGUUCAUGUGGCACAUCAACAUUGCAUGCAUUUGAAGCACACUCACUCUAGUCUACACAUCCAAAAGGGCAGAAGCAGCUCAUGACUGGAACAAUCCGUUUAGUUGUUCCAUGUAAAUCAGCCACAGGAUGGCUCUCUUAGUUGAAGAGAAUGCCAGGGAGGGUAUAGAUGAUUAAACAGGAAGAAUUGGGCUUGACCCUGAAUAUAGCAAUACCAUGAGUAUGGUAGUAGUACUACCUACAGCAUUAGGAUGAAAGUCCAAUGUCCCUCCCCUUUUCUAUGUAGGAGGCAGGAAGUGCUGGGAAGGAGACUGGCUUUGGGAGCUAUCUUUAUAGUAAUUGAGCCAAGUUUGUGGGACCAGCCAUGAUAGUCCCUUGUAGGCAGAGUGCUACACAGGGAAUUAGAAACAACAUAUGGACAGGAAGAAACCACCUAACACCUUCCCUGAAGUGAUAUGCACACUUGAGUAACAUGUAUUUUGCAUCUGUUCCAUUUCCAGAGGAUUUGAUAUUGUUUAAAAGAAAUUACAGGACUUUGUUUUAGUCGUUCCUGAGAUAUUGGUCGACCCAACAUUCCAGCAUUGAGUUAUAAAUCAUGUCACAGAUCUUUGUUAUCUACAAAUUGAAGCAAUCAGAGGAGAGAAAGAGCAAAAUAAGCACAUUAAGCAAUUUGGGGACAGAAAAGGAUGAUUUCUAGGUAUUGCGCUUUUAAAAAAAUGUAUUUCUGGAAAAGUCAGGACAAAUAUCAUUAUGGCCACUUGAAGUUUUUGUCCCUGACAGCAAUCACUUGACUGCUAUUCAUUUUUUUACCGUUUAUCAUCAUUAAAUGAUAUGGAAAUGUAUUUGACUGGUGUAGUUCUUGUAGUAGGCUCCACCACAGUGAAAUCCAGGAAAUGCCACUCUAGAAAGAAUAACAUUUCCUCAAGAUAGGUUCGUGGUGGAUGGUCCCACAAACAGAACUGCCAUCUAAGAAUAUGAGACUUAUUAAUCCUUGACUGAAAUUAGACUCAAUUAAUUUAGCAAAAUUAAGGUCGAAAAGGUUAGCAGAACACUUUUUCUGGCUAAAAGUGUUACAUUUUAAUAAUGGAGAUUUUAGAGGAGUCAUUAGCUGAUGCCAGCAAAAAAAAUUCCAAGAUCUCACCCAACCUUAGAAUUACAUUUAUAAACUUCAAUACUCUCUCUACCUUAGGUCUCUCAAUGUAGUUUAAAAACAUUUGAACAAUGCUAUAAAAAUCAUUAAAUGUAGAGACUGUAGCAUGUUGCCAAUUUAUAUCAUCAUCACAGGGAGUUAAUAGAUAACACUCUAUCAUGUCACUCAGAUAAUUGUAAUAGUGUAUCUCUCUGUAUUACUAUCAAAGGUAAGUGAUUGUAACAAUUCAUCUAAUUUGUACAGUACUUCUUAAGUUGUUAGAUGUGGGAGAAGAAGUGUUUCCUAACCAGAAAGUGUUUCCUAACCAGGGAAAUAUGCAAUAUGUGCACUGUUUUCUUUCUUUCUUUCUCUCUCUCUCUCUCUCUCUCUCUCUCUCUCUCUCUCUCUCUCUCUCUCUCUCUCUCUCUCUCUCUCUCUCUUUCAAAUAUCAGUGAUCAGUAGUUGAUGACUUCUGGAUUGGCAUGAGUUCUUGAAGUUCAUGGAGCAGUCACUUUUAUGCAGGAUACAGCUCUUUGAAUCUUACAACGUGAACAGAAGCCAUUGACAGGCUUCUUAUCCAACACAACCAGGCUAGGGACCAGUGCCUCUAUGGCAACAAUUUUCAAGCCCCCGAAGACUGUUGUACCAAAAAGAAUAUCCAGGAUAGAAUCAUUUUUCCCUGAUAGGAAAGAGCCACUUGGGCCCUAUUCCAGGAAGGAUAAAGGGCAUACAUGGGAUUGGAAACUUUGGUCUGUGAAGGAUAAGUAGAACUCAAGACUAUAUAUUUUGAUACUCCUGUGGGCCCCUGAGGCAUUUUUCCAGGUUUUUUCAGGGUGGUGGAGAGACGGGGACCCAUAUUGUCACAUUUUGUGCUGAUCAGAAACCCAAUUUUAAGUGAAAAGGGGGGGGGGGGUCUGGAGAAUUCUUAAGAGUGUUUUAGGCCUCCAACCUAAAGUUUUCCUAAGCCUGCUUUAGUGGAUCUCUGUCAUCUACACGUGGAGGAUACAUUUUGUCCUUGGUAGACUUCGCCCGAGAUCAGUAGAGAGGGUGAAAAUGAGGAAAGACUUUUUGGAAUUGUGGGAGUUGAAGUCUAAAAUACCUGGAGGGCCAAAGUUUACCCAAAUCUGCUCUAUAUGCUCAGAGCUGAGAUAAUUUUUUAUGGGAGUCAUUAGUCUUAGGAAAAAUAGCAUAACCGUAUCUCCUUGUGGAGAGAGUUCACCCUGAGCAUUUGCUCAUUUUCUAGGUUUACAGGUCAUAACUAAGAACAUUUUAAAAACAUCCAUGGUUAGAAAAUACAAAUAUAUAAAAUGUAUGUACGAUGUAUGAUUGGGAUGAAAUAUGGAGAAACACACUUCAUUCAGUAGAGGAGAGUCACAUAAGUUAGGCAAAGUACACAAAUACCUAUGCAAACUAAGGAAAAGUGAGCUUCAGUGCAAGAAAAAAGAAACCAAAGAAAAAGAAUAUGAACAUAGUAAAAUCUUAUUUGAAAUAAGCAUGGACUGUAAAUUAUGACUGCUCCCUUUUUAGAAAUAAGAUGUAUUCUAUAUCUUCCAGCUCAUGUGUAGU
This is a long non-coding RNA of Anolis carolinensis (green anole), 4770 nucleotides long. RefSeq lists it as uncharacterized. The transcript is spliced from 4 exons. The record is from RefSeq and is a predicted model, not a curated record. NCBI's taxonomy places the organism in Eukaryota, Metazoa, Chordata, Lepidosauria, Squamata, Anolidae.